CUUUUGGACCUACUUUGGGUCCUCCUCAGUGCGUCUCCUGGGAGCUGACUGUUCUGAGCAGUCAAAUCGUGGAGCAUCUGUUGUGGAGGUUCUUGGAAUACACAGGAUUUUUAAAUUAAACAUCCAAAUAUAUGCAUAAGGCAGAUAUCGCAGCAGGUAGAUUGACCACUGUCCUAUCGAUCACAGCAUAUGAACAGGAUGUGAUGAUAGACUGGCCGGGCGUUGGCAUAAUAAGAUGUGUUAUUGGCUCUAAAGGUCUUACUACAUUUGAGGUGAUAGAUUUGCACCGGAUAGCGCGACAUAAAAACGUCAUUAAUACUGACAGCCCGGUGAGGCUCCCCUGCUCAUGGAAAUGGUGUGCGAGGGAAGGAUUAUAGAUAAAAGAUAAAAAUAAAAACGUGA
This 402-nucleotide long non-coding RNA is filed under the name Androctonus crassicauda. Lineage: Eukaryota; Metazoa; Arthropoda; Arachnida; Scorpiones; Buthidae. The record is from RNAcentral.